Molecule: ribosomal RNA, 422 nt
Filed under: uncultured prokaryote
Description: bacterial SSU rRNA
Rfam family: Bacterial small subunit ribosomal RNA
Source: RNAcentral
UGAGGAAUAUUGGUCAAUGGGCGCAAGCCUGAACCAGCCAUCCCGCGUGAAGGAUGACGGCCCUAUGGGUUGUAAACUUCUUUUAUACAGGAAGAAAAAUCCCUACGUGUAGGGACUUGCCGGUACUGUAUGAAUAAGCAUCGGCUAACUCCGUGCCAGCAGCCGCGGUAAUACGGAGGAUGCAAGCGUUAUCCGGAUUCAUUGGGUUUAAAGGGUGCGUAGGCGGCUUUUUAAGGCAGUGGUGAAAUCUUACCGCUUAACGGUAAAAUUGCCAUUGAUACUGAAGAUCUUGAGUACAAUUGAGGUAAGCGGAAUGUGUAGUGUAGCGGUGAAAUGCUUAGAUAUUACACAGAACACCAAUUGCGAAGGCAGCUUACUAAACUGUCACUGACGCUGAUGCACGAAAGCGUGGGGAGCGAACA